CCUACGGGUGGCAGCAGUGAGGAAUAUUGGUCAAUGGGCGGGAGCCUGAACCAGCCAAGUCGCGUGAGGGAAGACGGUCCUAUGGAUUGUAAACCUCUUUAGGCGGGGAGCAAUGCCGGGCACGCGUGCCCGGAGGGAGAGUACCCGCAGAAUAAGCAUCGGCUAACUCCGUGCCAGCAGCCGCGGUAAUACGGAGGAUGCGAGCGUUAUCCGGAUUUAUUGGGUUUCAAGGGUGCGUAGGCGGAUUUUUAAGUCAGCGGUAAAAUGUCCGGGCUCAACCCGGGCCGGCCGUUGAAACUGGGGAUCUUGAGUGGGCGAGAAGUAUGCGGAAUGCGUGGUGUAGCGGUGAAAUGCAUAGAUAUCACGCAGAACUCCGAUUGCGAAGGCAGCGUACCGGCGCCCAACUGACGCUGAAGCACGAAGGCGUGGGUAUCGAACAGGAUUAGAUACCCGUGUAUC
Molecule: ribosomal RNA, 459 nt
Filed under: uncultured bacterium
Lineage: Bacteria
Description: partial 16S ribosomal RNA
Rfam family: Bacterial small subunit ribosomal RNA
Source: RNAcentral